This is a non-coding RNA of Hydra vulgaris (swiftwater hydra), 454 nucleotides long. The record is from RefSeq and is a predicted model, not a curated record. Lineage: Eukaryota; Metazoa; Cnidaria; Hydrozoa; Anthoathecata; Hydridae.
UUAAAGAUAAUUUUUUUAAUGAAAUAACAAUUUUUUUAUUGUUUAUAAACCCCUCAAGCAUAUUUAUAGGAUUAGGUAUACCAGGUAGGUUACUGUAUAUGAAAUUUUACUUUUUAAAAAAGGCACGCAAUGUGACUUUAUUUUUAUAUAGCUUUUUUUAAAAGUUAUUUCCAUAGCUUUUCAAUUUAAGCAAUGUUUUUGUUGUUUUUAUGUUUUAAAUUAUGCUUAAAUAAUAAAAUUAAAUUUAUAUUUAUUCAAUGUAGAUGCACUUAGUAUCUGAAGUUAUUUGUCAAUAACUGGUGAUCAGACUAUUAAACGAACACGUUUUUAAGGGCUGAGAAGGUGAAAGUUAGAAGUCUGCAGACUGCAACGUAAAUCAAUUUUCAACACAUGGUUUCCUGAAUAUAUUUAGUUUUUGAUUGAAAUGAGAAUAAACUGAACUUAUAGAUAUGUU